CAGUUAAAAUCAAUUUAAAUACUUGAAAAAAGUGCAGAUAAAGCUUUACAGCAGCCUAUCUCUAGGCAACUGUCACUUUCAUGAUUCAUGUAAGCAUAAGGACCACUUGCAGAACUGCAUUCUGUUCUCAGGUUGCUCGAGACAGUCUCACUGUUUGUUCUGUGUACCAUCAUGUCUUUGAUUUGCCCAGUGAUCGAGCUCUUGCAGAUAAGGCUUGUGUGAUUUUUAAGUUUUUCUCCUCAUAGUUUUUGGGGUUUUAAUACUAUGACUAGAAUGGACCAGCCAAAAGUGCUCUUUGUAGUACCUGCAAUGCCCAGUAUUUCCUCCUGCAAUUCAUAUAGGGUUACAUGGAUUGGUAGGUCAUCUAAAUAAGAUUGUAGGUUCUUUUUAUAAGCCCGGUUGCUCCUUACUACUAUUGGAACUGUCUGAGUAUCUUCCACAUUGCUCUUGUUUCUGCCUGCAGAUCCUGAUAGUUUUGACUGCCCCUCUAAACAAAACACUGUAGUCCCUGAUGGUCAGUGCUACUUUUAGCUUCUCUUCUUGGACCACUAUCUGGUUUUCUAGUAUCUAUCUUUUGGACUGUUGGUAGUGGGUGAUCCCAUGUGAUGCUUUCUGGCUCAUGUUUCCAGUGACCAUAAUAUUUGCACAAUCCCCAGUGCAAUAGUCUUGACACAUUGCCUUUUCAGUAUACAGUCCUUCUGCCAUUAGUAUGUCACAACCACCAACUAGGUGUGCAACUUUCCAAUUUUGUUUUACAAAACCUGCACUUGUCUCCGUGUUCAGUGGACUUCGUAAACCAUGUAACUAUCGCGGGGCUGCGGGCUGCCAGUAUUAGUAUUUCAUCUCUUGGUUUAAAGUAAUCUCUCCUCGAACAUUCCUGUGCUCAUUCUUUAUCAACAUUAGGUUCUAUCUAGAAGUUUUCUAUAUUUGCCUUCUCAUCUGAUCCUUAGUGUGUGUGAU
Molecule: long non-coding RNA, 960 nt
Organism: Protopterus annectens (West African lungfish)
Lineage: Eukaryota; Metazoa; Chordata; Ceratodontiformes; Protopteridae
Exons: 2
Source: RefSeq, a predicted model, not a curated record